CAGUCGCCGCGGUAACACGUAGGGCGCAAGCGUUGUCCGGAAUUAUUGGGCGUAAAGAGCUCGUAGGCGGUCUGUCGCGUCUGGUGUGAAAUCCCGAGGCUCAACCUCGGGCUUGCAUCGGGUACGGGCAGACUAGAGUGCGGUAGGGGAGACUGGAAUUCCUGGUGUAGCGGUGGAAUGCGCAGAUAUCAGGAGGAACACCGAUGGCGAAGGCAGGUCUCUGGGCCGCAACUGACGCUGAGGAGCGAAAGCAUGGGGAGCGAACAGGAUUAGAUACCCCCGUAGUCCCUGUCUCUUAUAC
This 301-nucleotide ribosomal RNA is filed under the name uncultured bacterium. RNAcentral describes it as "partial 16S ribosomal RNA". It matches the Rfam family "Bacterial small subunit ribosomal RNA", at positions 509 to 807 of the family's 1533-position model. The record is from RNAcentral.